Molecule: unclassified non-coding RNA, 348 nt
Filed under: soil metagenome
Description: partial contains 5.8S ribosomal RNA, internal transcribed spacer 2, and large subunit ribosomal RNA
Rfam family: 5.8S ribosomal RNA (bases 1-120)
Source: RNAcentral
GAUGAAGAACGCAGCGAAAUGCGAUAAGCAAUGUGAAUUGCAGAAUUCAGUGAAUCAUCGAAUCUUUGAACGCACAUUGCGCCCGCCAGUAUUCUGGCGGGCAUGCCUGUCUGAGCGUCAUUUCAACCCUCAUGCCCCUAGGGCGUGGUGUUGGGGAUCGGCCAAAGCCCGCGAGGGACGGCCGGCCCCUAAAUCUAGUGGCGGACCCGUCGUGGCCUCCUCUGCGAAGUAGUGAUAUUCCGCAUCGGAGAGCGAUGAGCCCCUGCCGUUAAACCCCCAACUUUCCAAGGUUGACCUCAGAUCAGGUAGGAAUACCCGCUGAACUUAAGCAUAUCAAUAAGCGGAGGA